This is a non-coding RNA of Callithrix jacchus (white-tufted-ear marmoset), 1552 nucleotides long. Lineage: Eukaryota; Metazoa; Chordata; Mammalia; Primates; Cebidae. The record is from RefSeq and is a predicted model, not a curated record.
UCUUCAGGUCCCCCCGGUCCCCUCCCCGGCGUCCACAGCGCCUCUGGUGACCAGCGGAUUGGACACGGCCCGGCCGGCCAUGGCCUCGUUGCUGAAGGUGGAUCAGGAAGUGAAGCUCAAGGUUGAUUCUUUCAGGGAGCAGAUCACAAGAGAGGCAGACUUGAUGGCAAAUUUUUUCACAAAGAAGUUAUUAGAACUUUAUAGUUUUCUGAAGGAACCAAUCUUAAACAUCCAUGAUCAAGCACAGAUCCACUCUGACAUGAGUCUCCCAGUCCCUGACCCCAUUCUUCUCACCAAUAGCCAUGAUGGACUGGAUGGUCGCACUUAUAAGAAGCGUAGGUUGGAUGAGUGUGAAGAAGCUUUCCAAGGAAUCAAGGUGUUUGUCGUGCCCAAUGGGACACUGCAAAGCAACCAGCAGCUGGUGCACGUUAUUGAGAAAGUGAAACCUGAGAUCCGCUGUUGACUGAGAAAUGUAACGCGGUCAGAAUGUGGGUACAGCUCCUGAUUCCCAGGAUAGAAGAUGGAAACAACUUUGGGGUGUCCAUUCAGGAGGAAACAGUUGCCGAACUAAGAUCUGUUGAGAGUGAAGCUGCAUCUUAUCUGGACCGAUUUCUAGAUACUAUAUUACAAGAGCCAAACUGGUUUCUAAAAUAGCUGAAUACCCCCACGUUCAGGACUAUCGCCGCACCAUGACAGAGAUUGAUGAGAAAGAAUAUAUCAGCCUUUGGCUCAUCAUAUCAGAGCUGAGGAAUCAAUAUGUCGCUCUACAUGCCAUGAUCCUGAAAAAUACUGAGAAGAUCAAACGGCCCCUGAGGCGAGGGGACUCUGUGAGUCUGGCUCAAGACCAACAUUGCCUUGGUUUGUAACAUACUAUCGUGAUGGGGAAACUGGCUGGAAAUAGUAAUGACACCUCUGUUUUUAGUUAGAGUCUAAUGAAAUUCUCAUCUAGUUCUGUGAGGUGUUUACCUCUUUUUUCAGGCCUCAGGAACUCUUCUAUUUCCUUCCCUAAUACCCCACACCCAGCCUGUCCUAAUUUCUGGACAACUCAAGGUUUGUGUGUGCACGAUGUUGGCAUACAAAUACUUGUGUUUCCACUCUUCUCUUCCCUCAUUUGUCUUGGGCUUUAUGUUUUCUUCCUUUUGAUGAUUAGUUGGUUAAAAGCUGAGGGAACUGGAAGGAAAGUGCCAGGUGUUUUUUAGCAACUGGGGUGGCGGAGGGAAACAACUUGUCUUCUACACAUGAAGUUACUGUCUCUUUCCUCUGUGGGGCACUGGAUCCUCCCACAGUUGCCCUGGUGGUGACUCAGGGCUUCGCAUCUGUGUCCAUUCCACCUUGACUCUUGAUCAUGACAAGAAACACCUUAGGCCUUCAGUCAAUUCCCAAGCUCCUUCAGAUGUUUUUAUGAUGGGAGUUUUCACAUACACAUAUAUGUGUGCAUGUGUACACCCAUACAGACAUGCACAUAUAUGUGUGCAUGUGUACACCCAUACAGACAUGCACAUAUGUGUGCAUGUAUACACCCAUACAGACAUGCACAUAUAUGUGUGCAUGU